RNAcentral lists this ribosomal RNA (407 nucleotides) under uncultured bacterium. RNAcentral's name for it is "partial 16S ribosomal RNA". It matches the Rfam family "Bacterial small subunit ribosomal RNA", at positions 28 to 526 of the family's 1533-position model. The record is from RNAcentral.
GACGAACGCUGGCGGCGUGCCUAAUACAUGCAAGUAGGACGCAGUUGCGAACGGGUGAGUAACGCGUAGGUAACUACCUAUUAGAGGGGGAUAACUAUUGGAAACGAUAGCUAAUACCGCAUACUAGUAGAUGGACCUGCGUUGUAUUAGCUAGUAUGUAGGGGAAUGGCCUACCUAGGCAACGAUACAUAGCCGACCUGGGGGGGUGAUCGGUCACACUUGGGCUGGGACACGGCCCAAAAUCCUUCGGGAGGGAUGAGUAGGGUAUCGUUGUGAACGGGGGGAACCCUGACCGAGCAACGCCGCGUGAGUGAAGAAGGUGUUCGGAUCGUAAAGCUCUGUUGUUAAGGAAGCGGUACUUAACCAGAAAGGGACGGCUAACUACGUGCCAGCAGCCGCGGUAAUAC